Molecule: ribosomal RNA, 472 nt
Filed under: uncultured eukaryote
Lineage: Eukaryota
Description: bacterial SSU rRNA
Rfam family: Eukaryotic small subunit ribosomal RNA
Source: RNAcentral
GGACCCUACGGGUGCCGCGUUCGGAAUGAGUACGAUUCGAACCACCUAACGAGGAACGAUCGGAGGGCAAGUCUGGUGCCAGCAGCCGCGGUAAUUCCAGCUCCAAUAGCGUACGUUAAAGUUGCUGCAGUUAAAAAGCUCGUAGUUGAACGUUCGGGUUCCGCGGGACGGGGCCGCCCCGCGAGGGACGGCGCCGCCCCGGGGCUCGUGAUAUCUCAUCUCGCCGCCCGUCGCGAGGCGGACGGAGGGAUGGAUGAGGUUACCUGGAAAAAAAUCGGGGCGAUCUAGGCGGGCGAACCUCGCCAACGAACGAUCGGACAUGGGAUAACGGAAGAGGGCGUCGGCUCGACUUCGUCGGUUCCUCGGGCCGAGGCACGUACGGUGAAUAGGGACGGUCGGGGCCGCCGUACCGGGUCGUGAGAGGUGAAAUUCUAGGAUCGACCCGAGACGAACCGCCGCGAAAGCAUUCGGC